This 210-nucleotide ribosomal RNA is filed under the name uncultured bacterium. RNAcentral's name for it is "partial 16S ribosomal RNA". It matches the Rfam family "Bacterial small subunit ribosomal RNA", at positions 145 to 353 of the family's 1533-position model. The record is from RNAcentral.
AGCCUUUCGAAAGAAAGAUUAAUACCCGAUGGCAUAAUGAUUCCGCAUGGUUUCACUAUUAAAGGAUUCCGGUAAAGGAUGGGGGAUGCGUUCCAUUAGGUUGUUGGUGAGGUAACGGCCCACCAAGCCUUCGAUGGAUAGGGGUUCUGAGAGGAAGGUCCCCCACAUUGGAACUGAGACACGGUCCAAACUCCUACGGGAGGCAGCAUG